CCCUCCUUCAAAAGCAUGUCUGUGGUUCCCUGUCCUCGGACAUGUAAGAAUUGGAGGCAAAGAGAUGUGGGCUUGGAGAAGUCUGGAGCCAGCUCGCUCCCCGCAGGCUCAAGAUCACCCUUGCCGAAGAC
RNAcentral lists this small nucleolar RNA (131 nucleotides) under Dasypus novemcinctus (nine-banded armadillo). RNAcentral's name for it is "Small nucleolar RNA SNORA38 (ENSDNOG00000028129.1)". It matches the Rfam family "Small nucleolar RNA SNORA38". Rfam says of the family: ACA38 is a member of the H/ACA class of snoRNA that guide the sites of modification of uridines to pseudouridines. Lineage: Eukaryota; Metazoa; Chordata; Mammalia; Cingulata; Dasypodidae. The record is from RNAcentral.